UUUAAGAUGUGAGCGUUUGAGGUGCUGGAAGUUAUUUUGGGUUGUUUGCCAGGAGGAGGUCCGGGUGACUACUACAGCUGCUGUCCCCUCACAAUCUUAAAAACAAACCGUAUUAAUUUUUGGAGAAUUCUUUAUUCAGCUCUGUGCUGACUUUGUUAAUGACACUGCAGUCCAUCUUUUUCACAAUGAGCAAAACUAAACAAAUACACAGGUCUGUUUGUCUUGUGCAUUUGCUCCUUGUUCAUCUUUGUGUAUUCUAAAAUAAGUCACAAUGUUCUAUAUACAGCAUCGCAAUUACAGUGCCCACAUCAUGCACCGUUAUGCAUUUAAAGUAGACCACGCAGCCGAGCGGCAACGGUCUGCUGUCCCGAAGGGCACCAGCCUAACCACUUUUCUUCAUUGUUUUGCAUUUGGAGUGCGGUGUGGUUUCCCCAGCUGUUUGUCUUUUCUUAAAUAAUGGCGUACAGCUGUGUGGAACCAAUCCUGCAUGAGAGCCGUUUACCUGAAUUACCUGUAUCAGCACUCUGCUUCUCUAAAGCAUACAGUCCGCGCAGCGCCGGGGCUGAAACGUUAGCAGUUGUGUAACAGGAGCAGGGCAUGCUGGGACAUGCAUCUAUGCCUAGACCCCGUCCACGGCAGGACUGUGUUUUAUUCUGCGGUCACACACAGUGUUGACCAGGGUCAUGUCAGAUUGGAGGUAACCGCAGUAUCAGUGUCAAAGCGGAUUUAAAGGUCACAUUUGAAAUGAGCGUUUUGAUUAUGUCUUGAUGUUAGAACGCAGUCGUCUCUUUGUCUUGGAAGUUUGAACGCGUGCGUUCUCUGCAACGCAGCACGUGGUUCUGUGGCUCUGUGAAUCUGAGCGGCUGUUGUUGUCCUGUUCCUCGGACGGUAUCGGGCAGGGUGCACACCUCUAAUUUGCUCCAACGUGGGCCUGACUGUCUUCAGUUCCCCCGUUUUGCACCUGCCAGCAAAACACUGCUUACAAAACUGGCAUGGGCCCAGUCUGCCCCCGGAUUAAAUGGUAGCAUUCUGAAAUGCGUGUGUGCUGCAGGUAACUGCCGAAGGCACGAAGCAUCCACAACAUGGAUCCUUUUCAAGGAGCGGUCUCACCUCUGUCUCGUAUUUGUCUCACCUCUGUCUCGUAUUUGUCUCACCUCUGUCCCGUAUUUGUCUCACCUCUGUCCCGUAUUUGUCUCACCUCUGUCCCGUAUUUGUCUCACCUCUGUCCCGUAUUUGUCUCACCUCUGUCCCGUAUUUGUCUCACCUCUGUCUCGUAUUUGUCUCACCUCUGUCUCGUAUUUGUCUCACCUCUGUCCCGUAUUUGUCUCACCUCUGUCCCGUAUUUGUCUCACCUCUGUCCCGUAUUUGUCUCACCUCUGUCUCGUAUUUGUCUCACCUCUGUCUCGUAUUUGUCUCACCUCUGUCCCGUAUUUGUCUCACCUCUGUCCCGUAUUUGUCUCACCUCUGUCCCGUAUUUGUCUCACCUCUGUCCCGUAUUUGUCUCACCUCUGUCCCGUAUUUGUCUCACCUCUGUCCCGUAUUUGUCUCACCUCUGUCUCGUAUUUGUCUCACCUCUGUCUCGUAUUUGUCUCGCCUCUGUCCCGUAUUUGUCUCACCUCUGUCUCGUAUUUGUCUCACCCCUGUCUCGUAUUUGUCUCACCUCUGUCUCGUAUUUGUCUCACCCCUGUCUCGUAUUUGUCUCAUCUCUGUCCCGUAUUUGUCUCACCUCUGUCUCGUUUUUGUCUCACCUCUGUCUCGUAUUUGUCUCACCUCUGUCUCGUAUUUGUCUCACCUCUGUCUCGUAUUUGUCUCACCUCCGUCUCUGGGAUGUAGUGUGUGCCUCUGAAAGGCCAGAAAACAUGCCGUUCACAGGGUUCCUCCUUGCAUUUAACCUCUUCAGGUAUAAAAUCAAAAAAUAUAUGAUUAGAAUGUUCUUUACUCAACAUCAUAAUGCUGAUGUAACAAUCACUUCUGGUAAUCGAAAGAAAUGGAGUUCUAGAACACUGGCUUAGAAUUUUGAAGAAAAAAAAAACAUUCUAAAAAGCCUCCUCUUCAAAGGGUUAAUUGGCUGAGCCUGACAGACUAAACUGGCCGUACAUUAGUCAUGCUAUCUCACAACAGGCAGCCUGAUUGCUUUAUACAAGAGUGAUUAUGCCCGUCCUAAGUCCUACUGUGCGGACAGUGUGGUUUAAGGAAUGCAGACACAGCUACUAUACAUAAUCAAUGACUCAUUUCAUUGUUGAAAGCCCAUUAAUCAUGGAUAGCUUUUAACUGUGUUAUGACUACAUUAUUAGGUAAUGGCUAUAUUAUUAUACCUUCAAGAAAAUUAUUUGUUCACAAAAGCAAAAGUUUUCUUCAAGUGUUCAAAUUUCAAUUAAAAAUUAAAUCAACCUGAAUGUAAAAAUAUCUGUGUACUUCGUGGAUUUACAGGACUGACGCUAAAAACCUUGGGUACCAGAGGACAAGGGAGCUGAUUCUGACUGUGCGUUAAAGGUGUAGAACAGAAGGUGUGUUGGUGGAGGAGUGUGUGUGUUCUGUAUCCGCUGCUGUGCCUGGUUGCUCUCCCCAGCAGACAA
Anguilla anguilla (European eel) is the source of this 2576-nucleotide RNA transcript. It is a transcript of the gene named insulin-like growth factor 3, with no coding region annotated. The transcript has 2 exons. NCBI's taxonomy places the organism in Eukaryota, Metazoa, Chordata, Actinopteri, Anguilliformes, Anguillidae. The record is from RefSeq and is a predicted model, not a curated record.